RNAcentral lists this ribosomal RNA (500 nucleotides) under uncultured bacterium. RNAcentral describes it as "partial 16S ribosomal RNA". It matches the Rfam family "Bacterial small subunit ribosomal RNA", at positions 30 to 523 of the family's 1533-position model. The record is from RNAcentral.
AUUGAACGCUGGCGGAAUGCUUUACACAUGCAAGUCGAACGGCAGCACGGACUUCGGUCUGGUGGCGAGUGGCGAACGGGUGAGUAAUGUAUCGGAACGUGCCCAGUCGUGGGGGAUAACGUAGUGAAAAUUACGCUAAUACCGCAUACGACCUAUGGAUGAAAGCGGGGGAUCGCAAGACCGAGCGCGAGUGGAGCGGCCGAUAUCGGAUUAGGUAGUUGGUGGGGUAAAGGCCCACCAAGCCAACGAUCUGUAGCUGGUCUGAGAGGACGACCAGCCACACUGGAACUGAGACACGGUCCAGACUCCUACGGGAGGCAGCAGUGGGGAAUUUUGGACAAUGGGCGAAAGCCUGAUCCAGCCAUUCCGCGUGCAGGAUGAAGGCCCUCGGGUUGUAAACUGCUUUUGUACAGAACGAAAAGGUUUCUACUAAUACUAGGAGCUCAUGGCGGUACUGUAAGAAUAAGCACCGGCUAACUACGUGCCAGCCGCCGCGGUAA